CCGCGCGGUGAGCACAGAGCGAACUAUUCUUUCGCCUUUUACUAAAGAAUACCGUGUGCUCGCCGCAGAUAGCGGCAUACGCCAAUUUUUGGAGGGUGUUCUUCCCUAUGGAGGAGCCCCUGUAAUCUCAGUCUUAAACUAUUAUUGUUUCUAGUGUAGCAACGGAGUCCUGCUACAAGCAGAAGCAGUCUUAAAAUGGUGGCAGACUGGGACAUUAUGUCAAUUUGCUUGGAUGUUAAUGAGUUUCAGUUGAAUCGUUCGAAUCCCAUAUUGUCUUACGGCUUGGUUGUUCUGAGCAGGUCAGGUGUGUAACAGUCCUGCUUCAAGAGAUUAGUUAUUCGUGUUUGAACUGAAAGAUGAGGGAAAGAGAAACAGGUAAGAAAAUCAAUGUCCUGACUGUUGGAGGUGGUGCUCAGAAUCUCAAAGAAAACCAUUACACUUCGUUUGUUGCAUUUCCUAAUGGAUAUUUCAUGCAGCUAAUUGAGUUGUAUAGGCUAAUAGGCCAAAAGCCUUGAAACCAACCCUGGUAAGACUUCAUGUAAAUGCAGAUGUUGGAAAUACAUAACAGAAACUAAACCUGUUUAUACAAGAGUGAUCGGUAAUCCCAAGGGCACAUUACAGGCAGGUAGAGAAUACUCAUGGCUUACAUGAUUCGAGUACCAGUUUAGCCUGGUAGACUCCGUUCACAAUGCAAGCCUAUUAAGGUCAAGAAGACGAAGACCUCUCACCCUUCAGCGAACGAGUUCCUACAACUUAAGCGGAAAAAAAGAGGGGGGAGCUAAAUCAUGCACCAGAUGGCACAGCUGCAAACUCCGAAGUGCUGUCUUGUUUCAUCACCGAGUCCCACACUGGAACGAUGCAGGGAAAUCCCAGCAAGCAGAUUACAAUAAAAUGGAACCAACUCAACUCCACAAACCACGCAGCCGAACGAGUCAUGCUACAAGCAAUCUUGAAAUGGUGGCAGACUGGAACAUUAAAAGUCACUUUUCUUGAAUGUUGAUGAGUUUCAGUUGAAUCGUUCCGAGUCCCAGAUUUUCUUUCGGCUUGGUUGGUAUGUGCCGGUGUGUGUAACAGUCCUGUCUCAUGAAAUUAGUUGUUUGUGUUUGAAUUGAAAGAUGAGGGGAAGAGAAAUAUGUAAGAAGGGAAGAAAAUCAACGCCCUGACUAUUGGAGGUGGUGCUCAGAAUCUCCAAGAAAGCCAU
Molecule: long non-coding RNA, 1201 nt
Organism: Carya illinoinensis
Lineage: Eukaryota; Viridiplantae; Streptophyta; Magnoliopsida; Fagales; Juglandaceae
Exons: 3
Source: RefSeq, a predicted model, not a curated record